CCCGGCCGCAGAGCCCCCAGCGGCGCCCCCCCCCCUCCCUCCCCGCGUCCCCAUCGGCCACGAAGCGCCGGGGGGGGCGGAUGGGGCGGGAGGAGCGGGCGCUGAUCAGCGGCAUCACAAACUGCCGCAGCCGCCGCAGCACUGUGCCGCGCUGCCGCGCCGGGGGGGGCGCCGGGACGGCCCCACUGCUGGCCCCACUGCUGGCCCCAUUGCUGGCCCUCACCCCGCUGGAGGCCCCAUUGCUGGCCCUGACCCCGCUGGUGGCCCCAUCGGUGGCCCUGACCCCACUGGAGGCCCCAUCGGUGGCCCUGACCCCACUGGUGACCCCAUUGCUGGCCCCAUUGCUGGCCCUGACCCCGCUGGUGGCCCCAUUGGUGGCCCCAUCGGUGGCCCUGACCCCUCUGGAGGCCCCAUUGCUGGCCGUGACCCCGCUGGUGGCCCCAUUGCUGGCCCCAUCGGCGGCCCUGACCCCGUUGCUGGCCCCAUUGCUGGCCCCGCUGGUGACACCGCUGGUGACCCCACUGGUGACCCCGCUGCUGACCCCAUUGCUGGCCCCAUCAGUGGCCCUGACCCCACUGGUGGCCCCAUUGCUGGCCCCUCUGGUGGCCCUGACCCCACUGGUGGCUCUCAUGGUGGCCCUGACCCUGCUGCUGACCCCACUGGUGGCCCUAUUGGUGACCCCACUGGUGGCCAUGACCCCAUUGGUGGCCCUGACCCUGCUGGUGGCCCUGACCUCACUGCUGGCCCUCACGGUGGCCCCAUUGGUGGCCCCGCUGGUGACCCCAUUGGUGACCCCAUUGGUGACCCCACUGGUGACCCCAUUGGUGGCCCCACUGGUGGCCCCGCUGGUGGCCCUAACCCUGCUGGUGGCCUUCAUGGUGGCCCUGACCCUGCUAGUGGCCCCACUGGUGGCCCUGACCCUACUGGUGGCCCUAUUGGUGGCCCUGACCCCACUGGUGGCCCUAUUGGUGGCCCUGGUGGUGGCCCUGACCCCGCUGGUGGCCCUCAUGGUGGCCCUGGCUCCGCUGGUGGCCCUAUUGGUGGCCCUAUUGGUGGCCCUGGUGGUGGCCCUGGUGGUGGUGGCCCCGAUGGUGGCCCCGAUGGUGGCCGGGCUGCCCCGGGUGCUGCUGUGGUCACUGCUGUCAUCGCUGCUGCUGUCAUCGGUGUCACCGCAGAGCGCGGGGGGGGG
Molecule: long non-coding RNA, 1189 nt
Filed under: Gallus gallus (chicken)
Lineage: Eukaryota; Metazoa; Chordata; Aves; Galliformes; Phasianidae
Description: lncRNA (ENSGALG00010000668.1)
Source: RNAcentral